UGUGUGUGUGCUUCUUGCUUUUUCUUCUUCUCGUUUUAUUUUCUUCGUAAUUUUCUUUUGUU
This 62-nucleotide non-coding RNA is filed under the name uncultured eukaryote. The record is from RNAcentral.